GUCCUAUACAGAUGCAUCAACGCAAGACAGUGGAACAUCUCCCUGUAGGAUGAAAUUCAUCAGAAGCUCUGACAACAAAUCUUAUUGUGUGGCUACGGUCGAAAUGGGAUGAGUCAGAGUGGAAUAGGUUAACCGUAGAACUUUUGGUUGAAAAACCAUAAAACAAAUCUAAGAAUAUGACUUCUGCAUUUUCACUAUUUUUAGUUACGGUUCU
RNAcentral lists this non-coding RNA (214 nucleotides) under unclassified sequences. Its description in RNAcentral is "IS605-orfB-I RNA". It matches the Rfam family "IS605-orfB-I RNA". The record is from Rfam by way of RNAcentral.